RNAcentral lists this ribosomal RNA (925 nucleotides) under uncultured bacterium. RNAcentral's name for it is "bacterial SSU rRNA". It matches the Rfam family "Bacterial small subunit ribosomal RNA", at positions 33 to 932 of the family's 1533-position model. The record is from RNAcentral.
ACGCUGGCGGCGUGCCUAAUACAUGCAAGUAGAACGCACAGGAUGCACCGUAGUUUACUACACCGUAUUCUGUGAGUUGCGAACGGGUGAGUAACGCGUAGGUAACCUGCCUGGUAGUGGGGGAUAACUAUUGGAAACGAUAGCUAAUACCGCAUAAGAACAUUUACUGCAUGGUAGAUGUUUAAAAGGUGCAAAAGCAUCACUACCAGAUGGACCUGCGUUGUAUUAGCUAGUUGGUGAGGUAACGGCUCACCAAGGCAACGAUACAUAGCCGACCUGAGAGGGUGAUCGGCCACACUGGGACUGAGACACGGCCCAGACUCCUACGGGAGGCAGCAGUAGGGAAUCUUCGGCAAUGGGGGGAACCCUGACCGAGCAACGCCGCGUGAGUGAAGAAGGUUUUCGGAUCGUAAAGCUCUGUUGUUAAGGAAGAACGUGUGUGAGAGUGGAAAGUUCACACAGUGACGGUACUUAACCAGAAAGGGACGGCUAACUACGUGCCAGCAGCCGCGGUAAUACGUAGGUCCCGAGCGUUGUCCGGAUUUAUUGGGCGUAAAGCGAGCGCAGGCGGUUAGAUAAGUCUGAAGUGAAAGGCAGUGGCUCAACCAUUGUAGGCUUUGGAAACUGUUUAGCUUGAGUGCAGAAGGGGAGAGUGGAAUUCCAUGUGUAGCGGUGAAAUGCGUAGAUAUAUGGAGGAACACCGGUGGCGAAAGCGGCUCUCUGGUCUGUAACUGACGCUGAGGCUCGAAAGCGUGGGGAGCGAACAGGAUUAGAUACCCUGGUAGUCCACGCCGUAAACGAUGAGUGCUAGGUGUUAGGUCCUUUCCGGGACUUAGUGCCGCAGCUAACGCAUUAAGCACUCCGCCUGGGGAGUACGACCGCAAGGUUGAAACUCAAAGGAAUUGACGGGGGCCCGCACAAGCGG